This 60-nucleotide transfer RNA is filed under the name Tituria sagittata. Its description in RNAcentral is "tRNA-Val". The record is from RNAcentral. Lineage: Eukaryota; Metazoa; Arthropoda; Insecta; Hemiptera; Cicadellidae.
CAAGAUGUAGCUUAUAAACUAAAGUUUAUUACUUACAUUAAUAGGGAACAAUAUUCUUGA